CAGACUUUCAAGGGAAUAGAUGAAUCAAAUGCUGCUAUUGACAUGUUAUGGCUAUCCCCUUGGAAAAGAUUACUGGAGCAGUAACUCAUACAAAGUGUAUACAGAGCUUUAAACACAUUUAACAAGACUGGAGAAUAUAUAGUCCUUAAUCAGAGCUGCAGCAGAACAGUGGGUGAGACUGAAGGUGAACUUGCAAUACCUACAAACGCAGGAGAUCAAGUU
RNAcentral lists this long non-coding RNA (222 nucleotides) under Chrysemys picta bellii (western painted turtle). Its description in RNAcentral is "lncRNA (ENSCPBG00000005079.1)". The record is from RNAcentral. Lineage: Eukaryota; Metazoa; Chordata; Testudines; Emydidae.